RNAcentral lists this ribosomal RNA (229 nucleotides) under uncultured bacterium. RNAcentral's name for it is "partial 16S ribosomal RNA". It matches the Rfam family "Bacterial small subunit ribosomal RNA", at positions 568 to 796 of the family's 1533-position model. The record is from RNAcentral.
AGUGUAGGCGGCAACGUAAGUCGGUUGUGAAAUCCCCGGGCUCAACCUGGGAAUGGCAUCCGAUACUGCGUAGCUAGAGUUUGACAGAGGAAUGUGGAAUUCCGGGUGUAGCGGUGAAAUGCGUAGAUAUCCGGAGGAACACCAGUGGCGAAGGCGGCAUUCUGGGUCAAAACUGACGCUGAGGCUCGAAAGCGUGGGGAGCAAACAGGAUUAGAUACCCUGGUAGUCC